Molecule: ribosomal RNA, 300 nt
Filed under: uncultured bacterium
Lineage: Bacteria
Description: bacterial SSU rRNA
Rfam family: Bacterial small subunit ribosomal RNA
Source: RNAcentral
GGCCUACGGGGGGCAGCAGUGGGGAAUAUUGCACAAUGGGGGGAACCCUGAUGCAGCAAUGCCGCGUGAAGGAUGAAGGUUUUCGGAUUGUAAACUUCUUUUGUACGGGACGAAGAAAUGACGGUACCUCAUGAAUAAGCCACGGCUAACUACGUGCCAGCAGCCGCGGUAAUACGUAGGUGGCAAGCGUUAUCCGGAUUUACUUGGUGUAAAGGGCGUGUAGGCGGGACUGCAAGUCAGAUGUGAAAAUUAUGGGCUCAACCCAUAACCUGCAUUUGAAACUGUAGUUCUUGAGUGAUG